AGAGUUUGAUCCUGGCUCAGGACGAACGCUGGCGGCACGCUUAACACAUGCAAGUCGAACGAGAGAAGAGGAGCUUGCUUUUCUGAUCUAGUGGCGGACGGGUGAGUAACACGUGAGCAAUCUGCCUUUCAGAGGGGGAUACCGAUUGGAAACGAUCGUUAAUACCGCAUAACAUAAUUGAACCGCAUGAUUUGAUUAUCAAAGAUUUAUCGCUGAAAGAUGAGCUCGCGUCUGAUUAGCUAGUUGGUAAGGUAACGGCUUACCAAGGCGACGAUCAGUAGCCGGACUGAGAGGUUGAUCGGCCACAUUGGGACUGAGACACGGCCCAGACUCCUACGGGAGGCAGCAGUGGGGAAUAUUGCACAAUGGAGGAAACUCUGAUGCAGCGAUGCCGCGUGAGGGAAGAAGGUUUUAGGAUUGUAAACCUCUGUCUUCAGGGACGAAAAAAGACGGUACCUGAGGAGGAAGCUCCGGCUAACUACGUGCCAGCAGCCGCGGUAAUACGUAGGGAGCGAGCGUUGUCCGGAAUUACUGGGUGUAAAGGGAGCGUAGGCGGGAUCGCAAGUCAGAUGUGAAAACUAUGGGCUUAACCCAUAAACUGCAUUUGAAACUGUGGUUCUUGAGUGAAGUAGAGGUAAGCGGAAUUCCUAGUGUAGCGGUGAAAUGCGUAGAUAUUAGGAGGAACAUCAGUGGCGAAGGCGGCUUACUGGGCUUUAACUGACGCUGAGGCUCGAGAGCGUGGGGAGCAAACAGGAUUAGAUACCCUGGUAGUCCACGCCGUAAACGAUGAUUACUAGGUGUGGGGGGACUGACCCCUUCCGUGCCGCAGCAAACGCAAUAAGUAAUCCACCUGGGGAGUACGACCGCAAGGUUGAAACUCAAAGGAAUUGACGGGGGCCCGCACAAGCAGUGGAGUAUGUGGAUUAAUUCGAAGCAACGCGAAGAACCUUACCAGGUCUUGACAUCGUAUGCAUAGCUCAGAGAUGAGUGAAAUCUCUUCGGAGACAUAUAGACAGGUGGUGCAUGGUUGUCGUCAGCUCGUGUCGUGAGAUGUUGGGUUAAGUCCCGCAACGAGCGCAACCCUUACUGUUAGUUGCUACGCAAGAGCACUCUAGCAGGACUGCCGUUGACAAAACGGAGGAAGGUGGGGAUGACGUCAAAUCAUCAUGCCCCUUAUGACCUGGGCCUCACACGUACUACAAUGGCUGUCAACAGAGGGAAGCAAAGCCGCGAGGUGGAGCGAACCCCUAAAAGCAGUCUUAGUUCGGAUUGUAGGCUGCAACCCGCCUACAUGAAGUCGGAAUUGCUAGUAAUCGCAGAUCAGCAUGCUGCGGUGAAUACGUUCCCGGGCCUUGUACACACCGCCCGUCACGCCAUGGGAGUCGGUAACACCCGAAGCCUGUAGUCUAACCGCAAGGAGGACGCAGUCGAAGGUGGGAUUGAUGACUGGGGUGAAGUCGUAACAAGGUA
Molecule: ribosomal RNA, 1470 nt
Filed under: metagenome
Description: bacterial SSU rRNA
Rfam family: Bacterial small subunit ribosomal RNA
Source: RNAcentral